RNAcentral lists this ribosomal RNA (253 nucleotides) under uncultured bacterium. Its description in RNAcentral is "partial 16S ribosomal RNA". It matches the Rfam family "Bacterial small subunit ribosomal RNA", at positions 524 to 776 of the family's 1533-position model. The record is from RNAcentral.
CACGUAGGAGACGAGCGGUAUCCGGAUUUACUGGGUGUAAAGCGCGUGUAGGCGGCUGGGUAAGUUGGAUGUGAAAGCUCCUGGCUUAACUGGGAGAGGUCGUUCAAAACUGCCUGGCUAGAGUGCAGCAGAGGGGAGUGGAAUUCCGAGUGUAGCGGUAAAAUGCAUAGAUAUUCGGAAGAACACCAGUGGCGAAGGAGGCUCUCGGGGCUGCAAAUGACGCUCAGACGCGAAAGCUAGGGUAGCGAACGGG